Molecule: long non-coding RNA, 521 nt
Organism: Maylandia zebra (zebra mbuna)
Lineage: Eukaryota; Metazoa; Chordata; Actinopteri; Cichliformes; Cichlidae
Source: RefSeq, a predicted model, not a curated record
GUCUGGGUGUGUGGCUGUAAAAUUCCAUUGAAGGUCUGGACCUCCCUGGUAUCCACCCAUGGGCAGGGCCUACAGCCUCUCUCACCUGAAGCUGAUUGAAGCAAUCAGGUUGGAGAUCUAAGCUGCUUGCUGACACUGCAUCCUCGCCAAUUCGUCCACUACCCUAUUUACUCCAGGAAAACUCCAUCACACUGAACCACUCGUCUUGGAAAUCUGGUUAACCCGCCUGCUUUCAGAAUCAUCUCCUUGCCUCACCUGCCUGCCCUCCUGCCCUUACACCACCUCUGGACCUUCGUCGCUCAGGACAGCUGCCACACACCACCAAACCCACCCGGACCGCAUCACCUCUCCCUCAACGCUUCCAUCUCUCACCUGCACAUACGUACCUAAUCACCAGCCAGCUGCCGCUGCUUUCUUGGACCUGUCCCCUGCUUAUCCCCACUCCCCUGGCCAAUACCCUCACACCCCACGUGUCAAGCCUUAAAUCCAAUCCACGUCAUUUUUUGGUGUUAGUAAAUAAA